Molecule: ribosomal RNA, 208 nt
Filed under: uncultured Desulfovibrio sp.
Lineage: Bacteria; Pseudomonadati; Thermodesulfobacteriota; Desulfovibrionia; Desulfovibrionales; Desulfovibrionaceae
Description: partial 16S ribosomal RNA
Rfam family: Bacterial small subunit ribosomal RNA
Source: RNAcentral
CACGUAGGCUGUAGUGUAAGUCAGGGGUGAAAUCCCACGGCUCAACCGUGGAACUGCCUUUGAUACUGCACAACUUGAAUCCGGGAGAGGGUGGCGGAAUUCCAGGUGUAGGAGUGAAAUCCGUAGAUAUCUGGAGGAACAUCAGUGGCGAAGGCGGCCACCUGGACCGGUAUUGACGCUGAGGUGCGAAAGCGUGGGGAGCAAACAG